GAUGAAGACGUAGCGAAAUGCGAUAAGUAAUGUGAAUUGCAGAAUUCAGUGAAUCAUCGAAUCUUUGAACGCAUCUUGCGCUCCUUGGUAUUCUGAGGAGCAUGCCUGUUUGAGUGUCAUUAAAUUCUCAACUACACUGACUUUGAAUUGGUGUGGCUUGGAUUUGGGGGGAAAAUUGUUGUGGGCUUUUUGUAUAGUCUGCUCCCCUGAAAUUGAUUAGCGGUACCUUUGUGGAACUGUCUACAGGUGUGAUAAUUAUCUACAUCUUAGACAUCUGCUGGAAUGCUGCUCUCUAAACCUUACUUGUAUUGACAAUCUUGACCUCAAAUCAGGUAGGACUACCCGCUGAACUUAAGCAUAUCAAUAAGCGGAGGA
RNAcentral lists this unclassified non-coding RNA (375 nucleotides) under soil metagenome. RNAcentral's name for it is "partial contains 5.8S ribosomal RNA, internal transcribed spacer 2, and large subunit ribosomal RNA". The stretch from base 1 to 119 matches the Rfam family "5.8S ribosomal RNA", at positions 35 to 154 of the family's 154-position model. The record is from RNAcentral.